UCCUACGGGAGGCAGCAGUGGGGAAUUUUAGACAAUGGGCGAAAGCCUGAUCCAGCAAUGCCGCGUGCAGGAUGAAGGCCCUCGGGUUGUAAACUGCUUUUGUACGGAACGAAAAGCCUGGGGCUAAUAUCCCCGGGUCAUGACGGUACCGUAAGAAUAAGCACCGGCUAACUACGUGCCAGCAGCCGCGGUAAUA
RNAcentral lists this ribosomal RNA (196 nucleotides) under uncultured Comamonadaceae bacterium. RNAcentral's name for it is "partial 16S ribosomal RNA". It matches the Rfam family "Bacterial small subunit ribosomal RNA", at positions 337 to 525 of the family's 1533-position model. Lineage: Bacteria; Pseudomonadati; Pseudomonadota; Betaproteobacteria; Burkholderiales; Comamonadaceae. The record is from RNAcentral.